RNAcentral lists this ribosomal RNA (369 nucleotides) under uncultured organism. RNAcentral describes it as "partial 16S ribosomal RNA". It matches the Rfam family "Bacterial small subunit ribosomal RNA", at positions 527 to 896 of the family's 1533-position model. The record is from RNAcentral.
GUAGGUGGCAAGCGUUAUCCGGAAUUAUUGGGCGUAAAGCGCGCGCAGGCGGUCUCUUAAGUCUGAUGUGAAAGCCCACGGCUCAACCGUGGAGGGUCAUUGGAAACUGGGAGACUUGAGUGCAGGAGAGAAAAGUGGAAUUCCACGUGUAGCGGUGAAAUGCGUAGAGAUGUGGAGGAACACCAGUGGCGAAGGCGGCUUUUUGGCCUGUAACUGACGCUGAGGCGCGAAAGCGUGGGGGAGCAAACAGGAUUAGAUACCCUGGUAGUCCACGCCGUAAACGAUGAGUGCUAGGUGUUGGGGGGUUCCACCCUCAGUGCUGAAGUUAACACAUUAAGCACUCCGCCUGGGAGUACGACCGCAAGGUUG